Long non-coding RNA from Mauremys mutica (yellowpond turtle), 546 nucleotides. RefSeq lists it as uncharacterized. Lineage: Eukaryota; Metazoa; Chordata; Testudines; Geoemydidae. The transcript has 3 exons. The record is from RefSeq and is a predicted model, not a curated record.
GUGUGUUGUAGACUCCCACCUGGGAGCAGCCAGAGACCCAGACAGCAGAGGCCAGGUGCGCCAUGACCUGGACAGUACCUGGCUGCUUGCGGAAGCCCAUGAGGGGACGGAGUCAUUGUGAGUUUCACUGAUCAAUGAGCCCAGAGAUCCAGAGGACCUCUCGACUACAGCACAGGAAGACAGGGUUUUGCCACCGAUUUUAAGAAUGGGAUUGUUCCAUAGGACUGCCUCUACAUGGAAGAAUGGAUGGAAGCAGAACUUUCUAGCCAUGUUUGACCAAGCUUGCCUCACAGCUGUUAUUGUGGGAGCGCUGGAGCUAUAAUAAUUUGAUCCCACAAUGCCUGAAAGGGGGAGCCAAUAAUAUGCAAGAUGAUACUUUAUUCACUCAGAAGAGGAGGACAAGGGAAACUAUCUGGGGUAAAUUCUCUGCUGAUUUAAGGUCCUGUUGACUUUGGUGGAACAGGAGCAGGGGCUUACAUUCUGUGCAACAUCACUGAUUUCAGUGCAGAAUCUGGUCUGUAAUAUCGGCUAGCCUGAUCUCUGCAG